This 292-nucleotide ribosomal RNA is filed under the name uncultured bacterium. RNAcentral describes it as "partial 16S ribosomal RNA". It matches the Rfam family "Bacterial small subunit ribosomal RNA", at positions 505 to 796 of the family's 1533-position model. The record is from RNAcentral.
GUGUCAGCAGCCGCGGUAAUACGUAGGGCGCAAGCGUUGUCCGGAAUUAUUGGGCGUAAAGAGCUCGUAGGCGGCCAGUUGCGUCCGCUGUGAAAUCCCGGGGCUUAACCCCGGGCGUGCAGUGGAUACGGGCUGGCUGGAGGCAGGCAGGGGAGAACGGAAUUCCUGGUGUAGCGGUGAAAUGCGCAGAUAUCAGGAGGAACACCGGUGGCGAAGGCGGUUCUCUGGGCCUGUACUGACGCUGAGGAGCGAAAGCGUGGGGAGCGAACAGGAUUAGAUACCCUGGUAGUCC